Xyrauchen texanus (razorback sucker) is the source of this 1584-nucleotide long non-coding RNA. RefSeq lists it as uncharacterized. Lineage: Eukaryota; Metazoa; Chordata; Actinopteri; Cypriniformes; Catostomidae. The record is from RefSeq and is a predicted model, not a curated record. The transcript has 5 exons.
GUUCUGAAGUGCAUAUCAAAAGCGACCUUUUUUCACUGCCCAGGGACGAGCAUGUGAAGAAUCAGUAGCUAGAGUUUAUAUUUACAAAUAUACCACACAAGUAUAGCCCGAACCUUGUGCUGUGUUCGCGUCAUUUAAUGACGAUUGCUUUACGAACAUGAAUGCUUUCAAGGGUGGAUUCGCGAGCCGGUUGAUACUGAAGGAAGGUUCAGUACCAAGUUUAUUUGGAUCAGCUUCCUCUUCCAAAUCACAACCUCGGUGAUGGGCGUUCCAUUUCUGACAAUCUCUGCACAGAGUACACCAAUCACAACUGACUGGGUCAUCUGACCAAUCACCGCAGAUUAGCGUCACGCAAAGGAGGGGUUUGGAAAAAUUAGUCGUUGAACGAAUCAUUUGGGAGUCGGUGAGCAAAUCAGAUUACUGCAUCAAUCUCAAAACACCGCUUAUCAAGAACAACCAACAACAACAAACAACUGCGGUUAUUGUUAUAAACAUGAGCCUCGACUGAAGGGUCAAGAGGAGGUUUUUCUACAAUUUACAGUGAAGUUUUUGGUGUUACUCAGAGGACAGGAUAUAAAUGUUACCAGAACAUCUGGAUACAGCUCCCUUCCUGCUUCGUGUUGGAGUCCACUGCUACGUGUUGCUGUGUGAUAAUGACUAAUAGCACGGUGCCAGCCAAACAUCACCUCAGUCUAUUACAAUGGACUUCAGAUGAUGAACUGAUGCCAACCCCAACCAUAAGACAUGUGAUACUUCAUAUGCCAUUGCCUGAACCUUGGAUUUUGGAUAAACCUGACCAAAUUACCGGCCAGGUUGAACUGCGAUGCACUUCAUUGAUCUCUGCCUGCAUCACCUCUGUCUAAUGAUGGACUACACUCUUGAAAUGGAGUACAUAGACUAUCAAUUAAUUGCCAACAAAAGCCUUCAUCAGCCAACUAACAAAGGACAAUUGCAUCUGUGUGAACUUCUGCAGUUAAUCCAGGAUGGACUUCAAAGACAUUAGUCAUUAAUCUUAAAGUUCAUACAAAAUAAUUGUUUAAACACUGACCCUUAACACUUAUUUAGUUUAAUCAUUUUAAACCAUGACUUGCACUAUACAUAAGUGAUAUUGGCAUUAUAUUCAUGAUAUUAGCCAAAGGGUAACUGGCCCCCACAGUGAGUCUGGUUUCUCCCAAGGUUAUUUUUAUCCAUUAACCAACAUCUUCUGGAGUUUUGUGUUCCUUGCCACAGACGCCUUCGGCUUGCUCACUGGGAUUAUAAAUUAUUAUUUAAUUACUUAUUUUUAAACAUAAUACAAAAUCAUAUUUUAUCAAACUACACAAUGAUGACUCUAAGACAUUAUAGACAUUACAGUUUUAUCUUCUGUUAAUGCCUGAUCUUCUGUAAAGCUGCUUUGAAACGAUGUGUGUUGUGAAAGGUGCUAUACAAAUAAAAAUAACUUGACCUGACUUAAGGAGAUGUUAGGCAGAAUAACAGCCUCAGUUGCUAUCCCCUUGCAUUUUAUGAAAAAAUGCUAUUAAAGUGACUGGUGACUUAAGACAUACUGCCUAACAUCUCCUUCUGUGUUUCACUAAAUAAAGAAAG